GAUGAAGAACGUAGCGAAAUGCGAUAAGUAAUGUGAAUUGCAGAAUUCAGUGAAUCAUCGAAUCUUUGAACGCACCUUGCGCCCUUUGGCUAUUCCGAAGGGCAUGCCUGUUUGAGUAUCAUGAACACCUCAACUCUCAUGGUUUGCCAUGAUGAGCUUGGACUCUGGGGGUCUUGCUGGCCUAUGGUCAGCUCCUCUCAAAUAAAUCAGCUUGCCAGUGUUUGGUGGCAUCACAGGUGUGAUAACUAUCUACGCUUGUGGUUUUCCAUCAGGUAACCUUCAGUGAUGGAGGUUCGCUGGAGCUCAUAAAUGUCCCUCCUCAGCGAGGACAGCUUUUUGAACGUUUGAUCUCAAAUCAGGAAGGACUACCCGCUGAACUUAAGCAUAUCAAUAAGCGGAGGA
This 402-nucleotide unclassified non-coding RNA is filed under the name soil metagenome. Its description in RNAcentral is "partial contains 5.8S ribosomal RNA, internal transcribed spacer 2, and large subunit ribosomal RNA". The stretch from base 1 to 121 matches the Rfam family "5.8S ribosomal RNA", at positions 35 to 154 of the family's 154-position model. The record is from RNAcentral.